This 83-nucleotide small nucleolar RNA is filed under the name Exophiala oligosperma. Its description in RNAcentral is "A. fumigatus snoRNA Afu_294". It matches the Rfam family "A. fumigatus snoRNA Afu_294". RNAcentral also lists the same sequence under 1 other name. Lineage: Eukaryota; Fungi; Ascomycota; Eurotiomycetes; Chaetothyriales; Herpotrichiellaceae. The record is from Rfam by way of RNAcentral.
ACACCUGAUGAUCACAUGUAUUUCGCUGUGUUCUUUCCGAAUCCUUUAUGUUGAACAUAUACAUCACCUUGGAGAACUGAUGU